This 397-nucleotide ribosomal RNA is filed under the name uncultured bacterium. Its description in RNAcentral is "bacterial SSU rRNA". It matches the Rfam family "Bacterial small subunit ribosomal RNA", at positions 29 to 416 of the family's 1533-position model. The record is from RNAcentral.
AGCGAACGCUGGCGGUAUGCUUAACACAUGCAAGUCGAGCGCGAAAGUGACUUCGGUCAUGAGUAGAGCGGCGGACGGGUGAGUAACACGUGGAUAAUCUGCCUUUAGGACUGGGAUAACCCUGGGAAACUAGGGCUAAUACCGGAUAAGACCACAGGUUCCAUGGGACCAGGGGUAAAAGGCGGCCUUCGGGCUGUCGCCGAAAGAUGAGUCCGCGUCCCAUCAGGUAGUUGGUGAGGAACGGCUCACCAAGCCGAAGACGGGUAGCCGACCUUAGCGGGUGAUCGGCCACACGGGGACUGAGACACGGCCCCGACUCCUACGGGAGGCAGCAGUGGGGAAUCUUGGACAAUGGGGGAAACCCUGAUCCAGCGACGCCGCGUGACCGAUGAAGCCC